This 21-nucleotide microRNA is filed under the name Zea mays. RNAcentral's name for it is "microRNA miR-3138". The record is from RNAcentral. Lineage: Eukaryota; Viridiplantae; Streptophyta; Magnoliopsida; Poales; Poaceae.
AGGCGGAGGACCUGGAGGGGA